This 227-nucleotide long non-coding RNA is filed under the name Manihot esculenta (cassava). RNAcentral describes it as "long non-coding RNA (MESC_LNC007233)". The record is from RNAcentral. Lineage: Eukaryota; Viridiplantae; Streptophyta; Magnoliopsida; Malpighiales; Euphorbiaceae.
UCUAGAGUAAGAGCUUAAGUGGAAAUAAGGAUCUAGAGGAAGAAAGCUUAUUUGACUAUGUUUUUUUGCUUGAGGACAAGCAAAAGCUUAAGUGUGGGGGUAUUUGAUAGAGCAUAUUUUAGUACAUAUUUUCAUGGUCUUAUUGAUGUUUAUUUGCACCUAUUCUACCUAAUUUUGUGGUUUUAAUCAUGUUUUGCAAGUAUUAGGUGUGAAGAAACAAUUUGGAG